RNAcentral lists this non-coding RNA (31 nucleotides) under Homo sapiens (human). Lineage: Eukaryota; Metazoa; Chordata; Mammalia; Primates; Hominidae. The record is from RNAcentral.
UAGGCUUCAUGUCGGCAUUUGUGAAGGCCUA